GGCCUACGGGAGGCAGCAGUGGGGAAUAUUGGGCAAUGGGCGCAAGCCUGACCCAGCAACGCCGCGUGAAGGAAGAAGGCUUUCGGGUUGUAAACUUCUUUUGACAGGGAAGAGAAGGAGACGGUACCUGUCGAAUAAGCCACGGCUAACUACGUGCCAGCAGCCGCGGUAAUACGUAGGGGGCAAGCGUUGUCCGGAUAUACUGGGUGUAAAGGGCGUGUAGCCGGGUUGACAAGUCAGAUGUGAAAUCCUGCGGCUAAACCGCAGAACUGCAUUGGAAACUGUUUUU
Molecule: ribosomal RNA, 289 nt
Filed under: uncultured bacterium
Lineage: Bacteria
Description: partial 16S ribosomal RNA
Rfam family: Bacterial small subunit ribosomal RNA
Source: RNAcentral